AAAUUGAAGAGUUUGAUCAUGGCUCAGAUUGAACGCUGGCGGCAGGCCUAACACAUGCAAGUCGAACGGUAACAGGAAGCAGCUUGCUGCUUUGCUGACGAGUGGCGGACGGGUGAGUAAUGUCUGGGAAACUGCCUGAUGGAGGGGGAUAACUACUGGAAACGGUAGCUAAUACCGCAUAACGUCGCAAGACCAAAGAGGGGGACCUUCGGGCCUCUUGCCAUCGGAUGUGCCCAGAUGGGAUUAGCUAGUAGGUGGGGUAACGGCUCACCUAGGCGACGAUCCCUAGCUGGUCUGAGAGGAUGACCAGCCACACUGGAACUGAGACACGGUCCAGACUCCUACGGGAGGCAGCAGUGGGGAAUAUUGCACAAUGGGCGCAAGCCUGAUGCAGCCAUGCCGCGUGUAUGAAGAAGGCCUUCGGGUUGUAAAGUACUUUCAGCGGGGAGGAAGGGAGUAAAGUUAAUACCUUUGCUCAUUGACGUUACCCGCAGAAGAAGCACCGGCUAACUCCGUGCCAGCAGCCGCGGUAAUACGGAGGGUGCAAGCGUUAAUCGGAAUUACUGGGCGUAAAGCGCACGCAGGCGGUUUGUUAAGUCAGAUGUGAAAUCCCCGGGCUCAACCUGGGAACUGCAUCUGAUACUGGCAAGCUUGAGUCUCGUAGAGGGGGGUAGAAUUCCAGGUGUAGCGGUGAAAUGCGUAGAGAUCUGGAGGAAUACCGGUGGCGAAGGCGGCCCCCUGGACGAAGACUGACGCUCAGGUGCGAAAGCGUGGGGAGCAAACAGGAUUAGAUACCCUGGUAGUCCACGCCGUAAACGAUGUCGACUUGGAGGUUGUGCCCUUGAGGCGUGGCUUCCGGAGCUAACGCGUUAAGUCGACCGCCUGGGGAGUACGGCCGCAAGGUUAAAACUCAAAUGAAUUGACGGGGGCCCGCACAAGCGGUGGAGCAUGUGGUUUAAUUCGAUGCAACGCGAAGAACCUUACCUGGUCUUGACAUCCACGGAAGUUUUCAGAGAUGAGAAUGUGCCUUCGGGAACCGUGAGACAGGUGCUGCAUGGCUGUCGUCAGCUCGUGUUGUGAAAUGUUGGGUUAAGUCCCGCAACGAGCGCAACCCUUAUCCUUUGUUGCCAGCGGUCCGGCCGGGAACUCAAAGGAGACUGCCAGUGAUAAACUGGAGGAAGGUGGGGAUGACGUCAAGUCAUCAUGGCCCUUACGACCAGGGCUACACACGUGCUACAAUGGCGCAUACAAAGAGAAGCGACCUCGCGAGAGCAAGCGGACCUCAUAAAGUGCGUCGUAGUCCGGAUUGGAGUCUGCAACUCGACUCCAUGAAGUCGGAAUCGCUAGUAAUCGUGGAUCAGAAUGCCACGGUGAAUACGUUCCCGGGCCUUGUACACACCGCCCGUCACACCAUGGGAGUGGGUUGCAAAAGAAGUAGGUAGCUUAACCUUCGGGAGGGCGCUUACCACUUUGUGAUUCAUGACUGGGGUGAAGUCGUAACAAGGUAACCGUAGGGGAACCUGCGGUUGGAUCACCUCCUU
Molecule: ribosomal RNA, 1541 nt
Filed under: Escherichia coli
Lineage: Bacteria; Pseudomonadati; Pseudomonadota; Gammaproteobacteria; Enterobacterales; Enterobacteriaceae
Also listed under: 3 other names
Description: bacterial SSU rRNA
Rfam family: Bacterial small subunit ribosomal RNA
Source: RNAcentral